GGAAUUCGAUUCGGUGUGACAAGGCCCGGGAACGUAUUCACCGUGGCGUGUUGAUCCACGAUUACUAGCGAUUCCAACUUCAUGGGCUCGAGUUGCAGAGCCCAAUCCGAACUGAGACGGCUUUUUGAGAUUUGCGAAGGGUUGCCCCUUAGCGUCCCAUUGUCACCGCCAUUGUAGCACGUGUGUAGCCCAGCCCGUAAGGGCCAUGAGGACUUGACGUCAUCCCCACCUUCCUCGCGGCUUAUCACCGGCAGUCUCCUUAGAGUGCUCAACUGAAUGGUAGCAACUAAGGACGGGGGUUGCGCUCGUUGCGGGACUUAACCCAACAUCUCACGACACGAGCUGACGACAGCCAUGCAGCACCUGUCUCCGGUCCAGCCGAACUGAAGGACUCCGUCUCUGGAAUCCGCGACCGGGAUGUCAAGGGCUGGUAAGGUUCUUCGCGUUAAUCACUA
This 455-nucleotide ribosomal RNA is filed under the name uncultured soil bacterium. RNAcentral describes it as "partial 16S ribosomal RNA". The record is from RNAcentral.